This is a long non-coding RNA of Cygnus olor (mute swan), 202 nucleotides long. RefSeq lists it as uncharacterized. The record is from RefSeq and is a predicted model, not a curated record. The transcript has 3 exons. NCBI's taxonomy places the organism in Eukaryota, Metazoa, Chordata, Aves, Anseriformes, Anatidae.
CACCUCUGGACUUUUCAUCUAAAUCACAGAAUCAUCUAGGUUGGAAGAGACCUCCAAGAUCAUCUAGUCCAACCUUUAACCUAACCAUGGGCUGUACCCUCAAUAGCAACAGAGCAGAGCAGCUAUAAUAUAGAGUGCUAGAUGCAAUAAAUCUUGUCGCUGCGAACAGCACACUUCUCAUCAGAGUUCUGGGAACUGCAAG